Molecule: transfer RNA, 62 nt
Filed under: Clavinema parasiluri
Lineage: Eukaryota; Metazoa; Nematoda; Chromadorea; Rhabditida; Philometridae
Description: tRNA-Lys
Source: RNAcentral
GAAGCAUUAGCUUAAGUUAAAAGUAGGUGAUUUUUGAUCUCUUGAUGUUUGUACAUGUUUCA